This 285-nucleotide ribosomal RNA is filed under the name uncultured prokaryote. RNAcentral's name for it is "partial 16S ribosomal RNA". It matches the Rfam family "Bacterial small subunit ribosomal RNA", at positions 524 to 819 of the family's 1533-position model. The record is from RNAcentral.
UACGUAGGGGGCUAGCGUUAUCCGGAAUUACUGGGCGUAAAGGGUGCGUAGGUGGUUUCUUAAGUCAGAGGUGAAAGGCUACGGCUCAACCGUAGUAAGCCUUUGAAACUGGGAAACUUGAGUGCAGGAGAGGAGAGUGGAAUUCCUAGUGUAGCGGUGAAAUGCGUAGAUAUUAGGAGGAACACCGGCGGCGAAGGCGGCUUACUGGACGAAGACUGACGUUGAGGCUCGAAAGCGUGGGGAGCAAACAGGAUUAGAUACCCUGGUAGUCCCUGAGCGGGCUGG